RNAcentral lists this ribosomal RNA (492 nucleotides) under uncultured bacterium. RNAcentral's name for it is "partial 16S ribosomal RNA". It matches the Rfam family "Bacterial small subunit ribosomal RNA", at positions 29 to 507 of the family's 1533-position model. The record is from RNAcentral.
AGUGAACGCUGGCGGUAGGCCUAACACAUGCAAGUCGAACAGAAGCACAGUAAGAGCUCGCCCUUACGGGUGGCGAGGGGCGGACGGGUGAGGCAUACAUAGGAAACUAAUUAUUCGGGGGGGAUAACGUAGGGAAAGUGACGCUAACACCGCAUACGAUCUACGGGAGAAAGCAGGAGAGCUUAGGACACUGCGUGACUGAAUGAGCCGACGCCGCAUUAGCUAGUUGGCGGGGUAAAGGCCCACCAAGGCAACGAUCCGUAGCAGCUCUGAGAGGAUGAUCCGCCACACUGGAACUGAGACACGGUCCAGACUCCUACGGGAGGCAGCAGUAGGGAAUAUUGGGCAAUGGGCGCAAGCCUGAUCCAGCCACACCGCGUGUGUGAAGAAGGCCUUCGGGUUGUAAAACUCUUUUAUUGGGAAAGAACAGCUGCGUGUUUAUCCCCCGCUGUUCUGACGGUACCCAAAGAGUAAGCACCGGCUAACUUCGUG